UUCUCCAUCUUCUUAGAGUU
Molecule: transfer RNA, 20 nt
Filed under: Nannopsittaca dachilleae
Lineage: Eukaryota; Metazoa; Chordata; Aves; Psittaciformes; Psittacidae
Description: partial tRNA-Thr
Source: RNAcentral